CAAGAAUAACUAUUUUGUUAUAAAUUAUAGAGCCAAGUUAAUAUUUGGGCAUAUUUUUACCAGAGUUAGCUUUUAGAAACGUGGUUUUUCUAAUUGAGCAAUGUGCGUGGCUAAAAUUGUGAAUACAAAACCUUAAAUUUGAGUUUGAAAAUGCAUACACGACCGAAGAAACAUAUAAGCUGCUAAAAUAAAUCUUCCCUAGAACUGUUGUACAAAAAAGAUAGAAGUUCCAGCAACAAAUUUAUCACCAGUUCAACCUUUGAUUUGAUGUAAACAGUAAUUGUUUCUUGAUGAGAAAUGCGAAUGAAAUAGUUUAUGGUGUGAUUGUGUUAGUGUUUUAUUAAUAGUUUUGUUGAUGCAGUUUAAAGGUUCAUAGUUUUUCAUUAAAACAUUUGAAAUUGACAUGUU
Long non-coding RNA from Sitophilus oryzae (rice weevil), 408 nucleotides. RefSeq lists it as uncharacterized. Lineage: Eukaryota; Metazoa; Arthropoda; Insecta; Coleoptera; Curculionidae. The transcript is spliced from 2 exons. The record is from RefSeq and is a predicted model, not a curated record.